Molecule: non-coding RNA, 90 nt
Organism: Lonchura striata (white-rumped munia)
Lineage: Eukaryota; Metazoa; Chordata; Aves; Passeriformes; Estrildidae
Source: RefSeq, a predicted model, not a curated record
UGGCUGAGGUUCCCUGGACGGUGUCGAGCAAGGAGCUGAAGGAGUACUUCUCCCAGUUCGGGUUGGUGCAGAGGUGCCAGCUGCCUUUCG